GUCUUGCUAUGCCUCAUGGGACUUGUAGUUCUGCAACAGCUGGAGGUCCGCUAAUUGCAUAUCCCUGGUCUAGAGAUAUCCAUUUCAAUUUUGGCUCCUAACGUGCGGCUUUGUUUUUUUUACCAGACACAGCAGAAUCAAGAGCUGGAAGGAGCGAGAGUCGGAAGGAGCGACCCUGUUUGAACAAGCACACGAUCCUGAUUUAGAUACCGGUACUCACAGUUUACUUCCUGGUGAUUGGGUGAUGGUUAAGAAGUUCCUCCGAAAACAUUCUCUAGAGCCAAGAUAUGAUGGUCCAUUUCAAGUGUUGUGGACAACAGCUACUUCAGUAAAGUUGGCCGGAAAGAACACUUGGAUACACGCAUCCCAUUGCAAAAAGGCUCCAGUUCCUGAGGACUGUGCACUACCCGCAACAGAAUGAAGUUAUAUAUCCUUCUUUUUACAGUGACAAUUGUGUACACACAGGAGGUGGCUAUUAGGAGAGCAGAACAGAUACAGUUGUGGUAUAAUUCAUCAAACACACAUGUGGCUACCUUUAUAUUUGAUUACUGUGAUAUAUAUGUUCCUUUGCCAAUUGUAUGGCAGUGUGCUGUGUACCGGCCGCUGUUUGUUGCCCAUGGAAACAUAUAUCUAUGUGAUGCAACUGAGGAUUGUGACAAUUGGGGAUCUGUGGGUUGGAAUACAGGUGAUGACUGGGGAAAUAGGCCACAGUGUGCCCUGAACAAAAAAGACAAAUAUGGAGAGCCAUUACUUGACAGACUGACCUUAACAAAAACAGGUAUAUGGUCAGGUAGUGAGGUGGAACAUAGCACAAAACUUACCCUAACCAUAAGGAAUCCCAGUCAUGUGGAUGCAGGCACAUAUGUUAUAGGGGUACGGUAUGAUGGAGGGGAGAAGGGACCACAAGGACAGUUCCAAAUUAAAGACAUGUAUAAUUUACCUGAAUGGCAGGCCCUUCAAACAGCAAGUGAUCCCCCUGAGUCACAUGUACAUAAGAGCACCCUAGAUGAUAUAGUGGCCAUAGCAGAUCCCACAUCUGAAGACACAAUGGCAGCAGAGACUGGUUUCUCGGAUGUCAACCUAUGGCUGGAAUGGAUGAGAUAUAGUGCAGGGAAACAUAACAGGUCCAACUGUUAUGUGUGUAGUGGAGCUAAACCCCAUUUGGGAACAGUACCAUUAAACAUACCUCCCACUCAAGGAGUUUUUUCUGAGCCUGUUUACCAAUACUACUACUGAUUACUCCCAGUGUGAAACAUGGAAAAAAGGAAUACCCAAUAAUAACUAAUACAGCAAGGCCCGGGGAGGGUAUCACUAUAUAUCCCGGUAAUUACACAUGUUAUGGGAAAUAUCAGGAAAAAGGGAGGUUCUUGGGUAACUUCUCUACGGGAUACUGUGCUUCAUACAGUAGUGUAUCCGCAGAUCUAGUCCAAAAUCAAACUCAAUCCUUGGGAGAUGUGUAUUGGAUCUGUGGGGACAUGAAGAUUAGGACUAAAUUAACUGACAGAUGGACAGGGGAAUGUGCACUUGCUAAAGUCAUAGUGCCCCUGCACAUCUUUUCUGUAGAAGACCUAGUAACAAAAGGGAAGCACUCCAAGAGAGCGUAGAAGUGCCCCUGCUGGUAGUUUUGACCCUCGUGUAUAUAUAGAUGCCAUCGGGGUCACAAGGGGGGCCCCGGAUGAGUUUAAAGCCAGAGAGACCAAGUAGCUGCAGAUUUUGUGUCCCCGAUUCCCAUAAUCACUAUAAAUAAGAAUGUAGAUUGGAUUAAUUAUAUUUACUAUGGAUUAAUUAUAUUUACUAUAAUCAACAAAAGGUUUGUUAACUAUACCAGGGAUGCACUCCAGGGAAUAGCUGAACAACUAGCGGCCACAUCACAAAUGACUUUUCAAAAUCGCAUGGCCCUAGACAUGAUCAUAGCUGAAAAGGGGGGUGUAUGUAAAAUGUUGCCUGGAACAAGUACAUGUUGUACGUACAUUCCGGACAAUACAGGUCCGAAUGGUAAGGUAACUUUGGCCAUUAAGAAAUUAGAGGAAUUCUCCAAGGAGUUAAAAAGAAAUUCAGGGCCGACAGAUCCCUGGGACCAGUAUUUUGGGUGGAUGAAAGGGUGGCAACGCAUUUGUACUCAAAUAGGUAUAGCAAUUUUGUUUUUGGUUAUAUUGGUUGUGAUGAUGUUUUAUUGUAUUCUGUCCUGUAUAAAGAAGCUGUUAGGGAAAGCAGCUGAAGAGAUAGUUCCUACUUUUUUGAAUUUAGAUGAUAUAGGAGAUUCAAUGAAGGAAGUAGAAGAGGGACCAUAUCCUCUAUUACAAUCCUUACCUGUUAAAACCACUUACAACAUUCUCAAGUGAGGGAAAGAACAAAGAGAAUGUAGGGACAGUACUGAUAAAAUAGCCAUUUUAAGGGGGGACUGUGAUGGAUUAUACUAAAAUCCCUAUUUUAUGUUAGGCUGAUUCUUUUAUUAGAAUCACUGAAAUGUUUCUUUUUUUUUUAUAUUGUUUUUAUAUUCAUUAUAUAUAUGCAUGUGUGAAAAAUGUGUAUCACAAUAGUGUUCAUUUCCCUUAAGAGUUUAUAUCAGAUAUGAUAUUAAGUUUUAAAGUUACAAACUCAACUUGGAUGGAGAGACAGAAGGACUAAUAAUAGGAAACAGAUGUGUUCAAUCUUCCCCUCCUCCCUGUCUUCUUCCACUGACUGGAAUUUUGUGUCCCUUGACAAGAGAACUGUUUCCAAAUACGGCUUUGCCCCUGAAACCUUGGGCUUGAGAUCCCUGUAUAUGAACAUUGGACAAAUGAUAUUACAUGUGCUCCACACUGCCAAGAAUAGACAUCACAGGAGGCGUGUAAAUGGGUGGGUAAAUGGGUGUGAAUUAUACAAGCUAACCAAUCUGAAUGCAUAUGUUUUGUGAUGUCAUAUUGUUAAUAAAGGGAGCCUCACAGGUCGUCCCUCUUCCUCUUUGCACAGGAA
Long non-coding RNA from Rana temporaria (common frog), 2955 nucleotides. RefSeq lists it as uncharacterized. The transcript is spliced from 2 exons. The record is from RefSeq and is a predicted model, not a curated record. Lineage: Eukaryota; Metazoa; Chordata; Amphibia; Anura; Ranidae.